CCAUGCAUUGAUUAAAACAAAUUAAAAAAAAGAAGAAGGAAAUUAACAAUAGAGAAUAUAAGAUAUUAAAAGAAAGGUACCUUGAAAUCAUGGCAAAAUGGAAUCGAUUUUCGAAUUCCCAAAACGAAAAGAAAAAGAGGGAGCGAGCCUUCUGAAAGUUUUUGACCAGCACAAAGAUUUUCAAGUGUGAGGAAAUGCAAAGAAACUAUGAGGCACAAAUCUGGAAACCCUUGGCCUCAUUCUCUAAUCAUGUGUCAAGUGUUGACUCACUUAUGCAUUGCGUGGCUUUUUUAAAAGUCUACUUCAUUUUUAAUAGUUUUAGAUUCAUCCUUAAAACUAAUAUGAUUCUCAUAUUUCUUAUUUAGUUGAUUAUAUGUUAUGUCAAAUUAUGUCGUAAAAAUUUAAGGGUUAAAAUAUACUUUAAAUUUCUAUAUAUUUUAUGCAUUUGUAAUUUAGUCUCUAUUUUGUAGAAAUUUAAUCUCUUUGCCUUUUUAUUUUAAAAAUUCAGAUUUAGUUAUUAUCAUUACUAAAAUUAAUAUAUAUAUUCACUAGAUAAUCAUGCAACAAAAAAAUAAUGUUGAAAAUAUUGAUUAAGAUUUUUUUCUUAGAAAUACCUGUUCAAACUUGCCAUGAUAAAUGAUUUUUGUUGUUGUUAUUGUGCUCAUAAGAAUAAUUGACGCCAACAUUUGAUUAAAAUAAUUAAAAAUAUUAAUUAUUUAAACUAACUAAUGACAUUAUAAAGUAGAAGAACCAAAUUAUAUAAAAAAUUAAAUUAUAUAUAUUAAAUCUCAAGAUUAAGAUAAUAUAGGAGUCAGAAUUGAUAUCUGGCCAUUUUCUUAUAUUAAAGAAAACAAAGUGAAACUCGAGAGAAAUAGAAAGGCACUCUCUAAGUUUUUAAGACAUUCAAAUUAUACAUAGCCAUAUAAUAUUUUAAUAAAAAGUUUGACAAUGUUAACUAUUUGGAUUAAUUAAUGAUAUUAUAAAAAUAUAGGGAUCAAUUUAUAUAAAAAUCAAAGUAGAAAGAUUGAAUAAAAAUUUAGACAUUAUGAAAGGUUCAAAAUUAAAAUUUAACCACUAAUUUAUAACGUAAAAGAAAGUUUGAGAAUGCCAUAAGGUGACGUGCGUCAGUGGAAGGAAAGUCAUUUGACCUUUUAUAUAUAGUUUAUAGAUUGGCUUAACAUACUGAUUGACCCUUGAACUUGACACAUUUUCUCACAUUGGUCCUUGAUCCUUUUUUAUUGGAUCUUAUUGACCCUUAUAGUUGUCAACCGAUGCACAAGGACCUCAACAAACGGGUUAGUUUAUAGCUGGCAGAAGCGACCAAUAGAACUAUGACAUGUGCUAACAAUUUUACUUUUUAAUAAUAAACUUCUCGGAUGUAAAUAUACAACCUUUUAACAAAUUUUAUAUUUUUUUUAUUUAAAUUAGUAUGGUUUCUAUUACGCUUCGCAUUAGGUAUUUAUUUAUUUUUUAAUUAAAUUAUAUAGUAAAAAUUUAAUGGUUGUAAUAUGCUCUAAAUUCUUGUACUCUUUGUAUAUUUAAAAUUUAAUCUGUAGUAUUUUAUCUUCAUAAAUUUAUUCCUUUUACUUUUCAAAUCUAAAAAUUAGAUCCAUUUGUCAAAACUGUUAAAAUUCUUCUGUUAAAUAUUUUGGUGUAACAUUUUCAAAUUAAAAAAAAAUCACUUGGUAUACAUGUAACAAAAAAAUGACAUUAUAAAAGACUUGAAUUUAAUAAAAAAUUUUAAUUGUGUUAAUAAUUUUUAAAAAUUCACAUCUCCAUUUUAAUUGGAUUAAACUAUUUAGACUAACGACAUUAUCAAAGUUGAUGUACCAAAUUAUGUCAAAAUUAAAGUAUUUAAAGUAAAUAUAUUUGUAAAUAUUGGGAACAAAGAGCAAGGAAAAUCUGGUUAUAUACCGUUCGUAUAAUCCCCAAAUGGUCUUCUUUAUGGAGACAAAAAUAAACAGCAGACAGAUGGAAAAAAUUAGAGGAAGUUACGGGUUUUUUAACGGUAUUGAUGUUAGUUCAGAGGGUACUAGAGGUGGGCUGUGUCUAGCUUGGCGUAAUGAUAUAAAUGUUCAACUUCAAAGCUAUUCAAAACGGCAUAUUGAUGUGAUUAUUGAUGAAGAAAUGUACAAGUGGAGGUUUACAGGGUUUUAUGGGUCUCCGUAUUCACAAGAAAGAAAUGAGGCAUGUAACUUAUUAUGACACUUUGGGACGAAUGGGGAUUUGCCGUGGAUGGUAUGUGGUGAUUUCAAUGAAAUCCUGUACAGUUUCGAAAAAAAGAGGGUUUACCGCGAGAAGAAUGGCGAAUGGAAGCUUUUCGUAAAACAUUGGAGGAAUGCAACUUAUCUGAUAUUGGGUUUAAUGGAAAAUGGUUUACAUGGGAACAGGGAAAUUUUGGUGAUAAUCAUAUCCAAGAGCGGUUAGAUAGAGCAGUUGCAACUGAAGAAUGGUUACGAAUUUUUCCAGAAUUCCAGAUUCAGCACCUUCCACAUACGUUUUCUGAUCAUUGUCCCCUAUUGGUUCAUUCCAAAAAGGAAAACAGAGAGCGAAUGCAAAAAGAAUUCAAGUUCGAAGCAUGGUAGGUAUUAGAGGAUUCGUUUUUUAACACAGUCAAAAAAAUCUGGGAGCAAUCUGAGGGUGAUCUAUUAUCUAAGUUAAACAGUAUGAAAAGGGGGCUGGAGCGAUGGUCAAGACAAAUUCAAAGUUCUAGAGAAAGAAGGAAAAAAUCGUUAUUUUCAAAAUUGGCCACGUUGCUUGAAGAUGAAAGAGAUGAAGUAAAUAUAACAGAUCUGAUCGAUACCAAAGUCCAAUUGAAUAUGGAGAUUGAAAAGGACGAACGGUAUUGGGGACAAAAAGCAAGGAUCAACUGGUUAAGAUUAGGGGAUAAAAACACAGCUUCCACUCAGAGGCGACAGAGAAAUUGGAUUUGUAAAAUGCAGGACGAUAAUGGGAGAGAUACGGACAAAUUACAAGAAAUGGAAAUGAUUGCCAGAAUGUAUUUCCAAAAACUUUUCACCGCAGGCAGGAAGGCAAAUUAUGAGUAUGUUCUGUCGGGAGUUCCUCAAUGUAUAUCAGAAGAAGAUAUUGCAAUGCUUAAGGAAAGAUGCACAGAGGAAGAAAUUCAGCAGUCUUUAUCAGAAUUAGGGCCCACUAAGCACCUGGUGAGGACGGUUUUCCAGCAUUAUUCUAUCAGAAAUGUUGGGCGAUUAUUGGAGAAGAAGUAGCUAUCUUUUGUCUCAAUCGUCUGAAUGAAGUAAUGGAGAUAGAUCAAAUUAAUAAAACAAACAUCGUUCUAAUCCCAAAAAUUUCAAAUCCCGCAGAUGUAUCACAUUUCAGACUCAUUAGUUUGUGUAACGUUUUAUAUAAAUUAAUGGCUAAAGUCAUUGCAAAUAGUCUUCGAAAAAUCCUGGACAAAUGCAUAAAUCCUGCACAAAGUGCUUUUGUGCCGGGGAGAUUGAUAUCGGAUAAUGUGUUACUGGCCUAUGAACUUAUCCAUACACUAAAAAAGAAGAGAGCAGGGAAGACGUGAUUUAUGGCGGUCAAACUGGACAUGAGCAAAGCAUAUGAUAGGGUAGAAUGGAGUUCUGUGGAGGAGGUAAUGAAGAAAAUGGGCUUUGACUCAGAGUGGGUGACUCUGUUGUUAAAAUGUGUAACUACAGUCUCUUAUUCAGUAGUUCUUAACGGCCACAAUGGAGAUGGAGAAUCUUUCUACCCUACGAGAGGAUUACGACAGGGGGAUCCACUGAGCCCAUUUCUAUUUUUAUUUUGUAGCGAAGGUCUUUCCAGCCUUAUGAAGUUAGGCAUGCCGGAGAAUAGAGUAAGAGGUGUUAAGGCAAGCAGAAGUGGGCCACAAGUUUCACAUUUACUUUUUGCAGACGAUUGUAUACCGUUCGGGGAAGCUACAGAGAGGGGCUCAACUUUUUUAAAACAGAUUCUGCACAUUUAUGAAGCUUGUUCAGGCCAGAAAGUUAAUUUGGUUAAAUCCACAAUUUUUUUCAGCAGUAAUUCUAAAGAAGAAGAAAGACGAAUAAUAACUCAAGUUCUUGGAGUACGAAGGACAGAAGACAUGGAAAGAUAUCUAGGGCUACCAAAUUUGGUAGGGAGAAGAAAAAAGGCAGCGUUUCAGAUUUUGAAAGAUAGGUUCAAACAACGAAUUGAUAAUUGGAGCAUCAAAUAUCAUUCGCAAGGAGGUAAGGAAAUUUUCAUUAAAGCCAUUUUACAAUCUAUACCAACCUAUGCAAUGUCUUGUUUUUUUCUUCCUAAAACCUUAUGUAUAGUGUUGGAGGGAAUUAUUGCAAAAUUUUGGUGGCAAAAAAAUAAAAGUAAAAAGGGGAUCCAUUGGUGUGCGUGGAAAGAUGUUUGCUUACCAAAAGAUUUGGGUGGUUUAGGAUUUAGAAGUUUAAACAAGUUCAAUGUUGCGCUAUUAGCCAAGCAGGGUUGGCGCCUUUUUAAUUAUCCGAAUUCUUUGUUAGCCCAAGUUUUAAAAGCUAAAUAUUUUCCUAGAACGAAUUUCUUAAAUGCUUCUUUGGGUAACUUACCUUCACUCACCUGGAGGAGUAUCUGGUCAACAAAAAAACUCUUGUUGGAUGGCUUAUGCUGGAGGGUUGGAGCAGGAGAAAGUAUAUCAAUUUGGAAUGACUGCUGGAUACCGGGAGAAACAGAAGACAAGUUACAAAAUAACAACAACAAUGAUGAAGUAAGGUUAGUGUCCGACUUAAUCAAUAAAGAAAGCAGAACAUGGAAUACAGAGUUGAUUGUCCGUACCUUUAAUACGGAUAUUACGAAGAAAAUAAUGCAGAUUCCGCUUUCAAAGUCUGAUCAAGAAGACAUCCAAGUCUGGAGAGGGGAGGCGACGGGAGUCUUUAUAGUGAGAAGCGCCUAUAAACUAUUACAGGAAUCUACUACAGAGCUAAAUGAUUAUUUACAGACCCAUACAAAUAAUUUUUUCAGGAAAUUAUGAAUUUAGAUCUGCCUACAAAAGUUAAGAUUACAGUAUGGAAAAUUGCGUGGAAUUACAUUCCAACUUUCUCCAACUUAAAACUGAGAAGAGUAAUAACUGAGGAUCGAUGCUUGAGGUGUGGACAGGAAACAGAAGAUAGUAACCACGUCUUUCAACGGUGUCCUAUAGCAAAAGAAGUAUGGGGUCAGUUGAAUUAUUCAUGGGUAUUUAAUAACAGUAACUUAGAUCUCUGGAGUUGGCUUACCUGGGUUUUCAGCGAAGGAACAACUGAACAGUGUCAAGGAUUCAGCUAUGGGCUAUGGAUACUUUGGACAAGCAGAAAUAAAUUCCUUUAUGAAGGCAAAAUCAGUACCAGUCGAGACAUAUCCAAACAAAUUAAAAGCUAUAUCCUUGAUAUGGAAGGUAUUCGAAAAAGGGAAUUCACCUUAGUAAAGAAUACAAAGACUAGUCAGAGACAACAAAGAGAAAAUAUGGCCAUCUUCUUCGAUGCGGCUUUCGACUCAUAACAUAACAGAUCGGCGUCAGGCCUUGUGGUCAAGGAGCAGGAGGGUAAAAUCGUAGCAGCAAAGUCAAUCCUUCAUGAAAAUGUGGCAUCUCCUUUCGCGGCGGAAGCAUACGUAGGAUAUCAAGCAACAAUGUUAGGGGUUCAACUGGGUUACCUUAAUGUGGACAUAUUAGGAGACUCAAAAACAGUUACAUCUAAAUGCCAAAGCGAAAAUCGUGACAGGUCAGAAAUAGGAGCAAUCAUCAGUGAUAUUCAAAGUCUAAAAGGUUUCUUUCAAAAAAUCAGAUUCUCCUUCAUACCAAGGACUGGAAAUAUGGAAGCACACAAAAUAGCAAGAGAAACACUCAAGAAAGGAGAAGAACUUUACCUGGAAGAAGAGACCUCACAAGCGUUAUAUGAGGAGCAGGAACCAACUCGUCUGGGCUUUUUGGAGCAAAGGGAAAUGAGAUAAGAUUUGUUUUGACAAAAGUGGGUAUUGAUUGAAAUGAAAGAUGAAGAGCAGUAUAGUAAAAGCAAUCAGAAAAGCAAAAGAUUUGAUGGGAUUUGCUUUUACUGUUCAGUGGUCUUAGGCAGAGGAAACGACAGAACAAUUAUUAGAGACAACUGGAUUACUUUCGGCUGGGGGUUUUUAUUUUUUUGUUGUUUUUUUUCUUCGGUAGUGGGCUAAAAUGAUUACAGCCCGUUUCUUUAUUGUUAUAUUUAGGAUUUUAUUGUUUGGGUUCAGCCCAACUUGGACGAUUUUUAUGUUUUUUUCUCUUUUUGAAUCCAGUUGAAAUUUCAAAAAAAAAAAAGUU
RNAcentral lists this long non-coding RNA (6262 nucleotides) under Gossypium barbadense (sea-island cotton). RNAcentral describes it as "long non-coding RNA (GBAR_LNC022401)". The record is from RNAcentral. Lineage: Eukaryota; Viridiplantae; Streptophyta; Magnoliopsida; Malvales; Malvaceae.